CAUAGUUCUACUUCUAACUUCUGUUUAUGUAAACAGUAGAUGUCCUGAUGGUUAAGCUACUGUUAGUUUGACUUUGGGUUCAUUGUAAUGAAAAGAAAGCUAGCUAAUGAACAUAUGAAAUUAUAGUUUUUAAAUGUGUUAAGUGAAAGAUAUAUUAUUUUUAAAGGCAAAAAGGAUAAAGGAAGUAAGUAUAAGCAAGAGAAAAGAAAAGAGGUGAGGAAAAUGAGCCUGCAUUACUAUUGACCAAUCCUAAAGUAUUAAAUACAACAGGGUCAUGAGUUGGUAGAAAGAACACAAGAAUAUUCUUGGAUGGAGAUAGGGAGGAGUAAGGGAAUGCAUUUUCCCAUAGAAAGCAACAAGUUAUUUAUAGAAAACUGGUCCAUGAUUGUUCAUGAAGGAGCAGAACUCAUUGUUUCUGAACAAAA
RNAcentral lists this long non-coding RNA (425 nucleotides) under Marmota monax (woodchuck). The record is from RNAcentral. Lineage: Eukaryota; Metazoa; Chordata; Mammalia; Rodentia; Sciuridae.